GACGAACGCUGGCGGCGUGCUUAACACAUGCAAGUCGAACGGAAAGGCCCUGCUUUUGUGGGUUGCUCGAGUGGCGAACGUGUGAGUAACACGUGAGUAACCUGCCCUUGACUUUGGGAUAACUUCAGGAGACUGGGGCUAAUACGGGAUAGGAGCUCCUGCUGCAUGGUGGGGGUUGGAAAGUUGCGGCGGUUUGGGAUGGACUCGAGGCUUAUCAGCUUGUUGGGGGGGUAGUGGCUUACCAAGGCUUUGAGGCGUAGCCGGCCUGAGAGGGUGACCGGACACAUUAGGUCUGGGAUACGGCCCAGCCGCGUAUGGGAGGCAGGGGUGGAGAAUAUUGCAGAGUGAGCGGAAGGAAGCUGCGACAACGCGGCGUGCGGGAUGACGGGAUGUGGGUUGUUAACCGAUGUUGAAUGUGACGAGGAGUGAGUGACGGUAAUUGGUAAAGAAGCACCGGCUAACUACGUG
This 468-nucleotide ribosomal RNA is filed under the name uncultured bacterium. Its description in RNAcentral is "partial 16S ribosomal RNA". It matches the Rfam family "Bacterial small subunit ribosomal RNA", at positions 28 to 507 of the family's 1533-position model. The record is from RNAcentral.